UUUCCUUGCCUCGCAUUUGGUUCCCACAAGAAAGAUGGGAUGAAAAGGGAAUGCGGUGCCAACCACUGGUGUUGAAAGCCGCAACUGCCCCCGCAACUGUAGGCGAUGAGCCAAAGCUCGCAAAAGGCCACUGAGCGUCACAGCUUGGGAAGGCGGAGCAUGAGGCGAUGACCCGCAAGUCAGGAGACCUGCCGAAUGCCGUCACUAUCC
Molecule: non-coding RNA, 210 nt
Filed under: Pseudovibrio exalbescens
Lineage: Bacteria; Pseudomonadati; Pseudomonadota; Alphaproteobacteria; Hyphomicrobiales; Stappiaceae
Source: RNAcentral